CCCAAUUACAAAGUCCAUGGUUUACAACAAUACGCAACCUUAAAAAGCCCCUAAAUACAAAUCUAUAGAAAAAAAGGCCAAAGCCCAUACAACAACCCUAGCUACGCUGGUUUAGGACUCGACUCGGCAAAAGAACAAGCCAGGAACCACUACGCCGUCGACGUAGGGGCCAAGGAUUAACCCAGAUAGUCGCCAGUGAACCUAGAGCUUUCCAAACCAAGCCAAGAAACUCAACUCAGAGAACAC
This 246-nucleotide unclassified non-coding RNA is filed under the name Hevea brasiliensis (rubber tree). Lineage: Eukaryota; Viridiplantae; Streptophyta; Magnoliopsida; Malpighiales; Euphorbiaceae. The record is from RNAcentral.